RNAcentral lists this small RNA (495 nucleotides) under Pongo abelii (Sumatran orangutan). RNAcentral's name for it is "processed transcript". The record is from RNAcentral. Lineage: Eukaryota; Metazoa; Chordata; Mammalia; Primates; Hominidae.
CCACUUACUUCCAAGCCCUGAGGAGCUCCACAACCUAGAACCAGGAAGCGCCUACAGAAUCCGUGAUAUUUCUGCUACGAGUUUCUGUAGGAACCACACUUUCCUAUUUCUGGACCUUUUGUCUGUUGCUGCUUCUGGACCUGAAAACGCCUUCUCCUCCCUCCUCUUUGUUAACUGCCAACAUCGCUAAUUCCUGCUUUCCCUCCAGGACCCCGCUUAGACGUCCCCCAUCUUGGGAGCCUUCCCUAAUAUACCAGGAGCAAGUGUUGCUGAAAACCCAUAUUCUCAGCAUGGAAGAAGAUAAAUUCAGAUGUUAAACUAGAAGAGAUGAAGUUAAAAUCCUAUAGUCCUGAUUUUGAAUUGCUUAUGAAUUGAUGAUGAAAUGUAUGUUUUAGAACACAGUUUCCUGAAGAACAGGAGGGAUAGCUAGAGAGGGGAUAGGAGGGAAGCUGGAAGGGGUUACAAAGAGGCCCAAAUAAACUUUUGGGGGUGACA